CUAACCGCGCGUCUCCUCAAAGUCGCCUGGGGCCACGCCAUUCGGCCCUGAUUGGUCAAGUGAUUGGGAAAGUGUCCUUUAGUCGCCAAUCACGUGCGAGCUAUACUCAUCAUCCCGCCCACCACUGGAAGUCUAUAAAAGCCACGAGGGUGAGGGUGGGUCAACGAGGAGGUGACGGAACACUCAAAUUGACUGAAAACAGAGAGUGGGACUGCAGGCUCGGUGCUCACUGGGCUGGAACCUUCUCACGCUUCAGGCCAAUGCUCUGAGACUGUGAGGAGGAGGAGGAGGAGGAGGAGGAAGAGGAAGAUGAAAUGAAGAUGCUCUCUAGUAAACCUCAGAGAAACCAGACAGUGAACGAUAAACUGUUUGCAGGGGGAAGAUGCCUGACAACGCCAACAUAUUGCAAGGAAACGACUUAUACAAUAUUGGUGCUUUUGUGUAUCGCUCUUCACUUGUUAAUUGCAGUGUGCACGCUUACUGUUGCUUGUGCAUGGUUUAAGAGUGUGUGCAUACUCAGCUCAGUGUUGUUGUCGGUGUGAUACCAGAUGGGGAUGACUCCAGGGCGAAAAGAGUACAUAUGGUGAUGUGUGGCAUGAUUCUGGCGUGAUGCUAAUAUGUCAUAGCUGUGAUUUAUGGAGUUCAUGGCCAGAGACACGGCCCGAGGAAAGAGUAUACAUCACAAGAGAGCAUUACAAUCUUUUUGAUAGAGCUCUUGUAUUGGAAGUUGUGUGAUGGGUGUAUGUUUUCCUUUAUCCUCCAAACAACAAAUGCACACAAUUGGAAGACAAACAAGAUUGGUUAGAACACUAAAUAAUAGAGGCCAGGUGUUAAUGUAAUUAAACGGAAAUAGAAUCAUUUAUUUUGUUCAGCAACUAACUGAGGCUGAUAUUUGAGGAUAUACAGUAAUGGAGAGAAAGGAUCAUGUCAAAGGGAGAUGAAAACAUGUGUGAGUGUGUGAUUAGACAAAAGACUGACAUAUUGAUUAAGACAGGAAGUGCAGAAUAAAUUAAUGGUGAAGCAUAUACAGUAGAAGUCUGAUAGAGUGAAACAGUGUAUGUUGUGGUCAAUGAAAGUGUGUGUUGGGUUCUGUGUUAUGUGUGUGGGUGAGUGAGAGUGCGAGUGUGAAAUAAAUCCAAUAAGCUUCUCCGUCAUGCUCUUGAGCAUUUUCUAGAUCCGCUGAAUGAAAUAAAUGAGAUUGUUUUGCUUUUGUCA
This is a long non-coding RNA of Phyllopteryx taeniolatus (common seadragon), 1215 nucleotides long. RefSeq lists it as uncharacterized. The record is from RefSeq and is a predicted model, not a curated record. The transcript has 2 exons. Lineage: Eukaryota; Metazoa; Chordata; Actinopteri; Syngnathiformes; Syngnathidae.